Molecule: ribosomal RNA, 253 nt
Filed under: uncultured prokaryote
Description: partial 16S ribosomal RNA
Rfam family: Bacterial small subunit ribosomal RNA
Source: RNAcentral
ACGUAGGGUGCGAGCGUUAAUCGGAAUUACUGGGCGUAAAGGGCGCGUAGGCGGCCUUCUAAGUCGAACGUGAAAUCCCCGGGCUCAACCCGGGAACUGCAUCCGAUACUGGAUGGCUUGAAUCCGGGAGAGGGAUGCAGAAUUCCAGGUGUAGCGGUGAAAUGCGUAGAUAUCUGGAGGAAUACCGGUGGCGAAGGCGGCAUCCUGGACCGGCAUUGACGCUGAGGAGCGAAAGCUAGGGGAGCAAACGGGA